UAAUGAUGACAUUUUGCUUUUCAAACAUCAGGCAGUAAAAAAAUUAAAUAUGUGUAUAUAUUUAUUAGCCGUGGGAAUUUAAUGCAUUAAUUGCUAUUAAUUAAUUUAAAAAAAUAACAGGUUAAAAAAGCCACAUUUAAUCGCACUUUACAUUCCAAGCGAAGGAGAACUUUUGUCAGUGUAUGAUUUCCUGGUAUACUGAUUACAGUGAUGCACACAUCACAGCUACAAAGAAUCCGAAAAAGCAUGUUACUAGGACUGAUCAGAAGCACAUUUCAUUUCAAAUGUCUACCCAACAGAAGCCUUGAUAAAAGUGUGGUUUUGUGUAAACUGUGCAAAAAGGAGUUUGCAUACCAUCAAAGCAUUUCAACCUUACGGUACCAUCUAAAUGCAAAACAUGUUGCAGCGAGCACAGAAACUGUGGGAGCUGUUAGCAUUAGCAGUCCCAGUUCGAGUACCAAUAAAAGGUGUUGGCAGCCCAAACAAGAUGAAAUGACUGGCUUCAGGACCAAAAUUAGGCAGUGCUAUGAGGGAGGCCACGUUUGCAGUAAUCGAGGGCCCAAGUGUGGAGUGUGGCUGGACUGCGCGGUGACGCGCCAUCAGGAAAAGACAGGUCCACGACGGGAGCUUCCUCUUUGGGUUUCUUGCUGGCGUGGUCUCCAUCUCAGAAGAGGAGUUCCUCUCCUGGUUUUAAACAUAAAGAACAUUUGCCCAAGCGUGGCUGGACAGAGGGAUGACGGGACUGUGGGGGGAAUUUUAGUGUAUGGGAGACAUUGUAUUAUUUUUUAGACAGUGUAUAUUUAUUUCUGCCGACAGGGUUUGUAGCAUAUUGAGAAAGUUGUUUUUAUUGUAUAAGGGUAUUUUAAAAUUGUAUUUGUAAUUGUAUUUGUGUUCUGGUUUUUCUUCCUCCGCUGCAAUAAAUGGUGUGUCUAA
Oreochromis niloticus (Nile tilapia) is the source of this 933-nucleotide long non-coding RNA. RefSeq lists it as uncharacterized. The transcript has 2 exons. Lineage: Eukaryota; Metazoa; Chordata; Actinopteri; Cichliformes; Cichlidae. The record is from RefSeq and is a predicted model, not a curated record.